AUGCCCCAGAUGCGUUUGAAUCGGGGUGUGUCGGGCGAGGACAGGAAGGAUGGUGUGGAGUGUGGCCCCAGAGUGACGCUGUGUCCGUGGAGCUCUGCCCUCCUGAUGCGCGGGACUGAGCCCUCCCGCCGCUCUGAGCCCACGGGGCUCACAGGACCAGCCGGCUGUCGCCUCCCUCGGGGUCCGCGCAGGCUCCAAACCGCCCGGGUUUCAGGUGUGAGGAGCCCUGAGACGGAGCCUGGUCCACGACCCCUCUGCCCUCCUUCUGCACGGUUGUCGACCCGUCCUCACCACAGGCUGAACGGGCCUCCUCUCCUCCUGACCCCUGCAGGCCCUGAGCUCUGGGGCGCCCCGAGGACCGGCUGGGGGGCCCCUCCCCGGGGCGUGGCCAGUGGUGAGGGGGCCGUGGCUGGGAGCGGCAGGAUGUUUGUGGCCUCAGGCCCCGGCAUGGUGUCUGUGAUGGAGCCGGCUCAGAGCAGCAGGACUAAGUGAGUCACGAGGAACACUCUAAAGGCUCCUAGAGAUUUGGGGGACCAGGUGUCCGAUGGGGAGCGGGUCCUGAUGUCACACAGGUGGGCUAGGGAGCCGGCAGAACGAAACCAGAUAGACCUGGGCACAAAGGGGAAAGUCAUGGCAACCUUGGGAUGGGGCAGCUUCAGGCACAGCUUGAUCCAGUAGCUCAAGCCCUGGCAGCAGGGCCUGACCUCUCAGGAUUCCUGUGCCCACGUCCCCCCACCCCAGGCCAGCAUCUCCUCCGUGUGACCUCCACUGAAACGUGUUCUGUCCUCUCAGCAGAUCCAGCCGCCUGCCACCCCCGAAUUCAUCCCCCUGGCCAUGGGAUGGAAUGUUCCGGGGGGAAAGGGCCGGAGUGACAUGCCCUCACCUGGGGCUGGGGGCAGAGUCGGCCCCGCCAGACCACAGGGCCAGGGUAGGGGCGAGGGCCCCCAGGUAAACCAGCUGCUGUUCCCUGAAGAGGAAAGACCCGCCUCGCUUGGCUGCCCUCCAGGACCCCGUGGAGCCCUCACACCGGGUGUCCACAUUCCUCUUGGGGACACGGGGGCUGCCAUCCCCCAGGCCCAGGACGCCCGCAAGCUUUACUCCUCGGGAGCCCGCAGGUUCCAAAUGGACCUGAUUCCAGGAGAAGGGCGCAAGGACCUCUGCCCCGGGAGGAGGGCUGAGCUCACCUUCACGCACCCGCAAGGUCGCCGUCCCGCCACGUCCUGGGCUGCCCGUCCCUUCUGUCCAGGUCACCCUGGGCUGGCCUCUGAGUGACUGCUGAGCUCACCAGGAGCAGCAGGACAGGCACAGCCCAAGGACGCUUGCUAAUGAGCGAGACUGGCGGUGAUUAGGGGCUGACAGGCAAAUGCUGAGGCUCUCCAAGGUGGGGGAGGAAGUGGGUUAACUGUGUGGGAGCAAGUGGAAGCCU
Molecule: long non-coding RNA, 1426 nt
Filed under: Felis catus (domestic cat)
Lineage: Eukaryota; Metazoa; Chordata; Mammalia; Carnivora; Felidae
Description: lncRNA (ENSFCAG00000044062.2)
Source: RNAcentral